Telopea speciosissima is the source of this 221-nucleotide long non-coding RNA. RefSeq lists it as uncharacterized. The record is from RefSeq and is a predicted model, not a curated record. NCBI's taxonomy places the organism in Eukaryota, Viridiplantae, Streptophyta, Magnoliopsida, Proteales, Proteaceae. The transcript has 2 exons.
UGUUCUAGAAUCGGCACCGAGGACAACACCUCCAUUGUAGGUUACUCCAAUGAUGGUCGUUCCCAUCGAAUGAGGAGCAUCUAGAUGAAGAUCCAUUGAAGUAAAUCUGGCAUAAAAAAACCGAGAAGUGGAGAACCAGGGUAGAUUCUGGUCUCUGAAGUUGAUUCCUCCUCGAUUGGGGCCGCGGCAACACUGUCGGACACGAAGAAGAUGAAGAGACC